AAUGAACGCUGGCGGCAGGCCUAACACAUGCAAGUCGAACGCCCCGCAAGGGGAGUGGCGCACGGGUGAGUAACGCGUGGGAAUAUGCCCUUCGGUUCGGAAUAACACAGGGAAACUUGUGCUAAUACCGGAUACGAUCUACGGAUGAAAGAUUCAUCGCCGAAGGAGUAGCCCGCGUAGGAUUAGCUAGUUGGUGAGGUAAUGGCUCACCAAGGCGACGAUCCUUAGCUGGUCUGAGAGGAUGAUCAGCCACACUGGGACUGAGACACGGCCCAGACUCCUACGGGAGGCAGCAGUGGGGAAUAUUGGACAAUGGGCGAAAGCCUGAUCCAGCCAUGCCGCGUGAGUGAUGAAGGCCUUAGGGUUGUAAAGCUCUUUAGCCAGGGAAGAUAAUGACUGUACCCUCAGAAUAAGCCCCGGCUAAAUUCGUGCCAGCAGCCGCGGUAA
Molecule: ribosomal RNA, 447 nt
Filed under: uncultured bacterium
Lineage: Bacteria
Description: partial 16S ribosomal RNA
Rfam family: Bacterial small subunit ribosomal RNA
Source: RNAcentral